GAUGAACGCUGGCGGCUUGCCUAAUACAUGCAAGUCGAGCGAAAAGACGAGGAUCUUGCGCCUCUCACGUUAGCGGAAGACGGGUGAGUAACAUGUUUAUAACCUACCUGUCAGACUGGGAUAACUUCGGGAAACCGGAGAUAAUACCAUAUAAUAUAUUUAUCCGCAUGGUUCAAUAGUGAAAGACGGUUUUUCUGUCACUUAUAGAUGUAUAGCCGCCUCAUUAGAUAGUUGGUACGUUAACGGCUUUCCACGGCUACCCUGCGUAGCAGACCUGAGGGGGUGAUCGCACACACUGGAGCGGAGACGGGGUCCAGAGUACUACGAGAGGCAGCAGUAGGGUAUCGUCCGCAAUGGGCGAAAGCCUGACGGAGCAGCGCCGAGUGAGUGAUGAAGGUGUUCGGAUCGGAAAACUGUGUUACUAGGUAAGAACAAAUGUGUAAGGAAAUAUGGACGUAUUGACGGUACUGAAUCAGAAAGCAACGGCUAACUACGUG
Molecule: ribosomal RNA, 497 nt
Filed under: uncultured bacterium
Lineage: Bacteria
Description: partial 16S ribosomal RNA
Rfam family: Bacterial small subunit ribosomal RNA
Source: RNAcentral